Molecule: ribosomal RNA, 253 nt
Filed under: uncultured bacterium
Lineage: Bacteria
Description: partial 16S ribosomal RNA
Rfam family: Bacterial small subunit ribosomal RNA
Source: RNAcentral
UACGUAGGGUGCAAGCGUUAUCCGGAAUUAUUGGGCGUAAAGAGCUCGUAGGCGGUUUGUCGCGUCUGCUGUGAAAACCCGAGGCUCAACCUCGGGCCUGCAGUGGGUACGGGCAGACUAGAGUUCGGUAGGGGAGUCUGGAAUUCCUGGUGUAGCGGUGAAAUGCGCAGAUAUCAGGAGGAACACCGGUGGCGAAGGCGGGACUCUGGGCCGAUACUGACGCUGAGGCACGAAAGCGUGGGGAGCAAACAGG